Molecule: ribosomal RNA, 392 nt
Filed under: Falcileptoneta musculina
Lineage: Eukaryota; Metazoa; Arthropoda; Arachnida; Araneae; Leptonetidae
Description: partial large subunit ribosomal RNA
Rfam family: Bacterial large subunit ribosomal RNA
Source: RNAcentral
AAGCCGCAGAAAUCUGUGCUAAGGUAGCAUAAUCAUUUGUCUUUUAAUUAAAGACUAGAAUGAAAGGUCAAACGAAUAAAAACCUUAAAUAGUAUAAUAAACCAAAAUUAAAUUUUUUGUAAAAAUACAAAAAUAAACAAAAAAGACGACAAGACCCCAUCGAACUUAACUAGAGUUAUACUGGGGCAGUAUUAUAAUAAAAAUUUUAACCUAAAAAAACCAAAACUACCAUAUAAAGAAUAGAACAAGUUACCGUAGGGAUAACAGCGCAAUUUAUUUCCAAAGCUCUUAUAAAAAAAUAAGAUUACGACCUCGAUGUUGAAUUAAUUCACCUGACUAAUGCAAAAAUUAACAAGAAAGUCUGUUCGACUUUUAAAUAAUUACAUGAUCUG